GAGGGUACAGCUCAGAGACAGAGUGCAUGCUUAGCAGGCACGAGGUCCUGGGUUCAAUCCCCAGUACUGGCA
This 72-nucleotide transfer RNA is filed under the name Camelus bactrianus (Bactrian camel). It matches the Rfam family "tRNA". From Rfam's summary of the family: Transfer RNA (tRNA) molecules are approximately 80 nucleotides in length. Their secondary structure includes four short double-helical elements and three loops (D, anti-codon, and T loops). Lineage: Eukaryota; Metazoa; Chordata; Mammalia; Artiodactyla; Camelidae. RNAcentral also lists the same sequence under 1 other name. The record is from Rfam by way of RNAcentral.